Podarcis raffonei (Aeolian wall lizard) is the source of this 662-nucleotide long non-coding RNA. RefSeq lists it as uncharacterized. The record is from RefSeq and is a predicted model, not a curated record. Lineage: Eukaryota; Metazoa; Chordata; Lepidosauria; Squamata; Lacertidae. The transcript has 4 exons.
UACCUAUGAAAAAGUAUUUUCAUAGGUAAUUAAGGUAUAUUUUAGAGAUCCUCCUAAUUACUGAUGAGUGCAUAGAAUACACUUGUAGCUGUUUUGAGGAUCAGAUUUUUGACCAGUGAGUGCAACCUCUGUCACAAUCCAAAGCGAUGUCAACUGUGCUUUAUGUUUCCAUAGAUUUAAGUGUGUAACUUUCUCUGUAUGAUGGCUUUUGAAGACAGCAGUCUAAGUGCCUGUCAAUUAUUUACAACAAUAUGUAUUGGCAACAUCUCAGAGUAUCCACAAGAUUUACUGCCACUGCUGGGUUUGACAAACCUGAAGUUCAAAAGCUAGUCACUUUAAACAAGGUACUGCCAAGAAAGGGGAAAAAAUAUUCAUAUCAACAGCCAUGAUCCAGAGGCUCCACCUGCCACUGAUCUGAGCCCCAACAAAAAAAGAAAUUGUCCACAAAUGGAACAGCAGAUGCAAUCUUAGGACAUCUCGACAGACAAGACUUACCGGACUUCAAUCAAAGUGUGGCAAGUCCCAGACAUGUAAAAGUAGAAAAAUCAUAGAGAAAAGGCCGAUUCAGCAUGAAUUCAGCAACACAGCAGCUGUCCAAACAAUGUUUAGAACUCUUUGAUAUAAUAUUUACUCUGAAUGUUUCCCUUCUCCUCUCCUACCAA